This 2594-nucleotide long non-coding RNA is filed under the name Rattus norvegicus (Norway rat). Its description in RNAcentral is "long non-coding RNA NONRATT022802". Lineage: Eukaryota; Metazoa; Chordata; Mammalia; Rodentia; Muridae. The record is from RNAcentral.
UUUUGUUUUUAUUUCUUUCCUUAUUUUUGUGUCCACUCUAGUGGUUUUGAUGGCCUAUGUUGUUUUUAUUGACCCAGAGGCUCCCCCUGGAGGUCAAAGGAACAAAAUGUCCCCAGGGAUCAGAACCCAUGGCCCUCUGAGGCAUGUGUGUGAAAGGGCAGAGGACUCCGGAGCCAUACCGACCCUCCUCUGCAUCCUUCCGUUUCUCUCUACGUGGUCCCAUCACCUGUUUUGCAUUUAGAACCAGUGUACAUAGUAGGCUUAUGUAUGGACAGAGAGGUGAGAGAAUGUGUUUGUUGGUGACUAAUGUAAUUUAUCAGAAUUUGGUGGCCUUUCUUUUGUGUGUUUUCCAUGGUGUGGGGAGGGGUUUCCCACUGGUCCCCGUGCAGCCUGUCUGCAGGGGUUCACGUAUCAUCUCUUGAUGUCCAAACAGUCCCUUCUGGCAGGUACUUGGAGGGACAAUAGUUUGGGAUGAGACAUAGCCCCUCUUCUCACCCCCCCAUCCUUUCUUGCCAACCCCUCCCCUCCUUUUUUUAAAGGUUACAGGGUUCACUCGCUUCUGGUUAUUAUUAUUGUGUGUUAUUGAUAUUAUUGUUUUGUUUUUAUUUUAACCAAAGGGUAUCAGAGCCAGAUGGGUCUGAACCUUAGCUGCUGUAAAGAUUUCCGUUUCUAUGAGGGCAGGAAGAUGGCUGCCCUCGUGGGUCUCCUUGGCUGAGGCUGGGGAAGGCGCCCAUCCAGCGAUAAAGAGAUAGAGGCUGGGAGUCCGGCAGGCAGAGUAGAAGCCGGCCCCCGAGUCUCGUUCUUCAAGGUGGUGGUGGGCUGACACAUAGCUCUAGAGUUAAGACAGUAAGCAACAGUAUAAACAUUUGUGGUGAUGGGGAAGUUGGUGUUCUGUGGUAUUAUUUUAUUUCCCAACUGUAUAGAUAGGUCAUUUGUCCAGGGUGUAUGAGAAAGGCAGGCUCCUGUGGCUUCCUUCUUCCUGACUUUCGAAGUCUGCUUUCCCCUGGGGGUUGAGGCUUUGAGGCAGGAGGAUGAGGGGAGGGGAGCAAAGAUGUGGUAGGCCUGCGUCCUGGCUGGGUCUGGGCUCCGGGCCUGGCCUCCUCUUUGUGUUUGUUUUGAUUUGUUCGUUUCUUAGUUCGUUGCCAGUGGGUCCUGCUUGUGCCCCCACAGCCUGCUGCUCACUGGGGCAGCGCCUGCCCAGUCUGGACGAACUCGUCCAUCCUUGUGAACAUGUGCAUACUUCCUCUUGACUUUUCUAUUUCUGAGCCCAGUGUCAUAUUGACACUGGUGGUUCAGGGCUUCUCAGAUGGGCUCCCCGUGUUGCCCCUGCUCAUGCUCCUAGUUUGGGGGUCACAUACACAGGCCCAGCAGGGAGACAGCAUCCUUUUAGGUCCCUGGUUGGUCAUGAAAUAUACACAUGCGUGUACACACACACACACACACACACACACACACACACACACACACACACUCCGCUCUGACUCCAAAGGAGAAAGGUGGGGAGGAGGUUCCACCUCCUCACCGUGGCAGUGUGUCUGGAAGGCAUGUCCACUUAGGACUCUGUUCUGUGGGUAGAACUCAGACGUCCUACGGAGUGUCAAACCACUUUGACUUUAGGGUGGGGAUGGGUUAAGGGAUAAGAUAAGGUGUAACUUAAGCUAAAUGUAUUCUAUUUAUAAAGCAAGAGACUGUAUUUUUAUGAAAGGAAAAGGUUUUUAAUCUAGGGUAGGCCGUCAUGGUGGCACAGCAUUUUGCUGUGGCUAAGAUACCGUCCUGCUCAUUGACUCCCGUGUGUGCUCAUCAGUCACCCCUCUCCUCGGCUCGCCUUCCAUCGUCAGCAACAUCUGCACACAGCUGGGGCAGGAAUAUGUUGUCCUUUCCCAGCCCACGGCUCCUCAGAAGUCUUGGGAGGAAACUGGGGUGGGGAGGGCGGGUGGACUGCAGAAAACUGAGGUGAGGGAGAGGUGCUUCAGAAGUAGGUUCUGAUUAGUCACCCCAAGUCCCCUCUGGCCAGACCUGCUUCCAUUCAGCUGUGUGGAGAGAGUAGGAGGGAAGUUCUGUGGGGCUGGGGAACACAGGACUCCUUUGGGGCUUAGGGGCUUACUAUGUGUGAAGUUGUCAGGCAGCUGGAGCAGGCACAGAAGGGACCCCGAUGCUCAGAGCUCAGCCCUGUCUGUGUCUACUCCAGGUCAAGGUCAAGCUUGGUUUUAGAUGAAGGACCAGGAAACUGGAGGCUCUCCUCAGACAUACAGUCUCUCUGGGAAGGGAUUUCCAGGCUCAGCGUGGGCUGUGUGUGAGUCUCAGGCAAAUGCCUCACCUUUCCAGUUCCUUCCCAAGCCCGGAAGAGAUGUGAAUUCCCCACCAUGACAUGACCCCUUUCCGCACAUUGUAGCAUCUACCUGGUUUUUAGUCCCACCCUACCCACCGUUGCUGUGUCUGUCAGCUGGGUCUGAAAAUCACCGGGAGGGGUUUGUACUCAUAAAAAGACUACUGACCCUACCAGAAAACCAACCUGUUUACUGUACUGUUGUAAAUACUGUGCCCUUUAUAUCCUGUAUAUUGGCUUCUUUGGAAUAAAGUAAAAUGUCUUAGAA